Molecule: long non-coding RNA, 322 nt
Organism: Lolium rigidum
Lineage: Eukaryota; Viridiplantae; Streptophyta; Magnoliopsida; Poales; Poaceae
Exons: 3
Source: RefSeq, a predicted model, not a curated record
GCCUUUGCACCUAUUCGUGAUAUAUGCGGCUUUGCUAGAUGUACCUUCAUCUAUGGUUCUUCCAAGUGUGGUUGAUGAUCCGUAGGAGCUACCGGCAUCAUCUGAUGCAUCUGGAAUAAAUAAGAGAGGAGAAGAAUUCUAGCUUGGAUAGACAGCUGGAAGAUGCUAAGACUAAUAUGCAAGAGGAGAUCAUUCUGUUACAAAGAUAGAAGGAACACACCCUUUAUUGUUUACAAAAUUCAAAUGCUUCAGUCAAGAGUCUUGAAUGUGAGUUAGAGUAGCAAAGAGAAAACAACUAUAUUCUACAGCCUGCCAAUGAAGA